UCUCCUCCCCGGGGCCCGGGGCCCGAGCGCUGCUGAGGUGGCCCUUCGGUUCCAAGAGUGUUCUUCUUUGCCGGCUAAACACGGCGUCUGGGCGGCGAUGGCCUGUCGGGUGGCGUGUUCUUAUCCUCCGACGCGUGCUCCUCGUAUUUCCAGUCUCCGAGCCUCUGAGCCUGGGCAGCCCCCCAGCUUGCAAGCGCUCCGUGGGCGCCCACGCAGGUGGCACCUGCGCUGGAAUUUGACAAGGAAGCCAAGUGAAGAAAGUUGAACCCGCAUGGAGAGAGGAGCCUUGGGGUUCCCUCUUCCCUCUGCUUGAUCCCAGUGAGAUGGGGCGGCUCUGCCUCCUACCCCGAGGCUCAUCUGACUGUGCGGACACAGAGGCCGGACCCCGAGGCCAUAGCCCUCUCAGCUCACCCCUGCACGGCUUUGAAGCCUUGAUGUGGCCUGGAAAAACAAACCAAAAAACCAAAACCAAAGGUAUUUCUGAUGCUUGAGUUGAGCGGACACUGAGAUGUGUCAGCCAGCCCUGAUCUUGGCAAAUACAGUUUCGAAUGGUAUGUCCUUCCCUUUCUAGAGCCACGGCAGUUCAGCGCUAUCAUUCUUCCUCACAGUGAUGGUGUUUAACUUACUAAAGAAUGACCAGGCAAUACUCUUUGAAAAUUGGAGACCAUUUGCAGCUGCUCUCUGUUGAGGAAAGUGAAUAAUAGGGUGCCCUCAAGGAAUUUCGAAGGUAUCACUCAACAGAAACUUUUGUGUCUGAAGAAAACUAGAUCAUUUUAUCAUGAGCUUAUAUGUAUUUCUUUAUAUUGAGAUAUAUAAUGAACUGACGAAUAAAAAUCUAGAGAGUCUGGAAGUUUCCCUUGCCCUUGACCAGGAACAAGCUGUGGACGCCUUUAAGAUCUGUGCCGAUGCAGGUACUGUUCCCCAGGUGAGGCCCAUGUAUUUGCACUUGCUCUUGAUGGCUUUAUUGGGGGUUCUUGGCUAUACGUUCAGAAAAAGGGAUUUCUACUUAGCAUUGACAAGCUAAACCAAAAGUAGAAUAUAUUCAUCAAUUGUUUUCCCCAGAGCAUUCUUCUGGCAAGAAAUGUCAACACUUUAAGCACAUGCCAGUGACCAUCUGUGUACAGAUGUCUAUAAGAGGCAUUUGUGGUUUGUCUCUUUCAGAUUAGAUUAAGGAUGCCCAUGAAGAAAGGGAUGAAACAACCUUUCCCUGUAGUCUGUGUCACUGCUUCCUCUAUAUUUUCUGAUCUAGGAGUAGCAGGUACCCUGGCUGUUUCUUGAAAUCAUACUUUAUUUUCCAAACAAGGGCAUUUGAUGCCUGAAAUUCCUGCUGGGGAAUUUAUUUCACUGACUUGUGUCUCCAAGAAAAAGGAAAUUGAAUGUAGCGGGGCCCAGAUUCAGCAUGAGAAACUGAUUCAGGAGUAGCCUUCUUAGUAGGAGGUGUCAAGGAAUCUUCCUAACAAAGCUCGCCUUUGCACCUUUGCGAUGGGAGAAAUCAAAGCACAGAAGUUGGAGCUGAGGAAACUGCCUCAUGGUCAGAAAGGGUGAUUCUGAGAUCAGAGGAUCUGUCACCUGUAUCACCCCCUGUAUCAUCCUCUGGUCCAGCCCUGUGAGAUCUGCCUGACUGUGAGAGAGGGAGAUAUGAGAGAGAGAGAAAAAUGUUUCUGUUUCGGUGGGAAUACAGCUUCGUGGCUGUGUAGUGGGUGAUCAUAUGGUUGCAGGAUGUCCCCAGGUGGCAGAAAGCUCAGCUCUAGGUGGCUUCUCAGAGGCCCUACAGAACCCAGCCCUGACUUGUUCUGAUUGCCUGUGGAGAGUUUCAGGUUCUAGAAAGUCCAUGAAGGGAAAUUUCAGUGGCAUUAAACACAAUGGAAAGACCAGGUUGGCAACCUCAGGAAGCUGGAGCAGAAUAGGACAAGGGCCAGUAUCUGAGCACUGACUCUGUGCCUGGAAAUGUUCUAAGUGUUUGUAUUAGGGAAGAGCAAAUCUGACUCCAUAUGAGUUCUGUUUCUCUCACUUUAACCUUGAUGCUCUGUUGUCUGGGCUUUGUCAUGCCGGCUCUGCCCCUUCUGUAAAAGAAUGUUGCCUAUAUCCUGAAAUAUACAGGGUAGCCUAUCUCAAGGCAAUGCCUUUAACAGUCUAACACUUUUCCGUUCAUACAGAGAUAAAAAGUUGCAGCACAGAGAAUAUUUGUUUUGCUGGAGGUUUAUAGGAACGUUGUGACCUGGCCUGUGUGGACAGUUGCACGAAAAAAGGAUUCCUACACCAACAAGUUUGCAACAACCAACCACCCCCCUCCUUCACCUGAUCUUUAAAAAUGCUUUGCUGAAACCCUUGGAGGCGUUCAGGAUCUUUGGCACAUGAGUCGCCCAUCUCCUAGCGAGGCCCAGCAAUAAACCUUCCUCUGCGCCAAACUCUGACCUUGUGUUUGGCUUCAUUGUGCAUUCGAGAACAUGUUAACUUUUACUCCUCAGAACAACUCUGUGAGUUAGAUCUCUUUAGUAUUCCCAUUUUUAUAGGCAAGACAAUGGAUGCACAGAGAGGUUAAGCAAUUCGACCAAUGUCACACAGCCAAAAGGGGCAGAGCCACUAUUUUAAACCAGGUAGAAGAGGAAAGUGAGUGACUUUUCUAGAAGCUGAGAAACAUUCAGGGUAAAUGUGAAGGAGGAAUUUUUGUUUCGAAGAGGCAUCUGGAGUGCUGAAAGAGCCAGGAAGAUUGUGAAGCCAUUUUUUUUUUUUUUUAAAGUCUUAAGUUAAUGUGGCCUGACAGCAUUGCUUUAGAAGCAGUAGAGCAGCAGAUACCUUUCUCAUACUUAGCCCCAUUGGGCGCUGCACUUGAAAUGAGCUCCAAGAGAACAGGAGCGGCAGGUGCAUGUCUCAGAUUCCCGGCAUCAACAGGCACUGGCCCAGGUUGCUACCACACCCACUUUCAUGUCUGUUUUAUAACUGAGGAAAUGGAUUCAGAGAAACUAAGCAACGUUCCUGAAGUCCCACAGCGACAAAGUUGCAGAAAUGGGAUUCAGACUGCAGGUCUGAUAAAUUCUGAAGGCCAUGUUCUUUUUAGAAUACCGUAUUGCACCUCUCCAAAGAGAUAUACC
Molecule: long non-coding RNA, 3092 nt
Filed under: Sus scrofa (pig)
Lineage: Eukaryota; Metazoa; Chordata; Mammalia; Artiodactyla; Suidae
Description: lncRNA (ENSSSCG00040039405.1)
Source: RNAcentral